ACCGUCCCACGUUCGGAUUGCAGUCUGCAACUCGACUGCAUGAAGCCGGAAUCGCUAGUAAUCGCGGAUCAGAAUGCCGCGGUGAAUACGUUCCCGGGUCUUGUACACGCCGCCCGUCACACCAUGGAAGUCUGCAAUGCCCGAAGCCGGUGGCCUAACCACUUAUGUGGAAGGAGCCGUCUAAGGCAGGGCAGAUGACUGGGGUGAAGUCGUAACAAGGUACC
This 224-nucleotide ribosomal RNA is filed under the name uncultured bacterium. RNAcentral's name for it is "partial 16S ribosomal RNA". It matches the Rfam family "Bacterial small subunit ribosomal RNA", at positions 1281 to 1500 of the family's 1533-position model. The record is from RNAcentral.